Molecule: long non-coding RNA, 1519 nt
Organism: Bos taurus (domestic cattle)
Lineage: Eukaryota; Metazoa; Chordata; Mammalia; Artiodactyla; Bovidae
Source: Ensembl
AUGACUAUAUCCCCUGCAGGCGGAGAUGGACUGUCUACAUUAGGAGAGAUGAAGGUCCCGGGCAAAGAAGCAGAGCAAGAGGGGAUGGGAGCAGGACCGAGAAAGAGUCCUGCUGCUUCAAAGCCCAGGUUCUCUUCUUUCUCAGCUUCCCAGGAUCUUCAUCUUUCCCAGCAAGAUGAGGCAACAGAUUGCUGAUGAUGUUUAAGCUUGCUCCUGAAACCUACAGCUGAGAGUCUUGAGUAAUUUGCUGAGCAACUGAGUGGUUGGAGGGCCACCUACUGAUGUAAGCAACAGGAAGAGGAAGGGAAUCCUCUUCUGGAGGAAGUGUGAGCACUGUGAGUCCACCUCAUCCUGGAAGGGGGUAAGGACCUCCCGGACGUCUGGAAGUUUCACAAGCUGAUCAUGGUGUUUUACGUCAUCUUUGUCUACUCCAGCUGGACAUAAAACUCCCAUGUGGAAGCUAUACCAGGAGGAAAGAAACAUUCUUAUCACUAAAGAUGAGGAAUUGAGGCACACACAGACUGGGUUAAUCUAACUCGUAGCUUCCUAUGGCUGUUGUUCAGUUGCUAAGUCGUGUGCUGUUACUUUUCCAUGCCUGAGAGACCUAGCUCUGGUGCUUCUCAGGGCUCGUAAAGGCCUGGAACUGUCUUUGCUGAUUCUGUUCUGUUCUUCGUGGUGAAGAGGGGAGAAAACGUAUGUCCUGCUUUUAGGCAAAUAGUGGGAGAGCAGAAAGGUUUCCUUGUAGCUGCAUUGCUUUGGGCUGAAAAUAAUCCUUACUGCUAAGCACCAUAAUUGGGAGUAGAGGUUGCAAGUUCUGCUGUCUCUUGGCACAAACAGAAAAAUGACACUUUGAAAUGAAGCAGGACCCUGUGGUCCUUGCCCACCACCGCGUCCCCCACGUGCCUUUUGUUUGUGAAAAAACUUUAGCCAAAGAAGAAGUUUAACCAGAGAAGUGAGAAAAUGCAGAAACAAAGCAACACAGUCAACGAAGACCAAAUAAUAAAGUCAUCAAGCAUCUGCUGGAGGAAGGCAUGGCAACCCAUUCCAGUGUUCUUGCUGGGAAAAUCCCACAGACAGAGGAGCCUUGCAGGCUAUGGCACACGGAGUCACAAAGAGCUGGACACAACUGAAGUGACUGAGCGUCAAACAUAGUCAAGGACAUUUAGUUCCCUCUCAAGGGCUAUAGAUAAUAUUCUGUGCCAUGUCCCAUGAGCUCUUAGACUGAAACCACCACCAGGUGUAAGAAGUUAACUACAUGAUGACUGGACUGUAGCCAUGACAGAAGCUGCCAUAGUUCUGAGAUCUGGGCUCAAGAAAUGGGGACAAACCGAUCCUGGAACUGAAGAUUAACUCUACUUAAAACAACCAAGAUGAAGAUGGUCAGAUGACCAAUUUCAAGAUGACUGUCAGAGCUGACUGUGCUGUUUCUACAUGAAGCCUCCUCCAUCUGGCUAUAAAAGCUCUUGCCCACUGAUUGUCAUGGAUGGGGGGAGAGACGGCUUCUGGACAGGUGUCCACC